GGAUCCAGACUUUGAUCAUGGCUCAGGAUGAACGCUGGCGGCGUGCCUAACACAUUCAAGUCGAACGGAGUCUUAGAGAUAAAUCCUUCGGGAAGCGUUUUUAAGACUUAGUGGCGGACGGGUGAGUAACGCGUGAGCAACCUGCCUCUGUGAGGGGAAUAACGUCUGGAAACGGACGCUAAUACCGCAUAAAGCAUCGAGACCGCAUGAUCAUGAUAUCAAAGAUUUAUCGCACAGAGAUGGGCUCGCGUCUGAUUAGAUAGUUGGUGAGGUAACGGCUCACCAAGUCAACGAUCAGUAGCCGGACUGAGAGGUUGAACGGCCACAUUGGAACUGAGAUACGGUCCAGACUCCUACGGGAGGCAGCAGUGGGGAAUAUUGGGCAAUGGACGGAAGUCUGACCCAGCGACGCCGCGUGAAGGAAGAAGGCCUUCGGGUUGUAAACUUUAGUUAUCAGGGAAGAAAGAAAUGACGGUACCUGAAGAGAAAGCCACGGCUAACUACGUGCCAGCAGCCGCGGUAAUACGUAGGUGGCGAGCGUUAUCCGGAAUUACUGGGCGUAAAGGGUGUGUAGGCGGGACUGCAAGUCAGAUGUGAAAAUUACGGGCUCAACUCGUAAAGUGCAUUUGAAACUGUGGUUCUUGAGAGCCGGAGGGGUAAAUGGAAUUCCCAGUGUAGGGGUGAAAUGCGUAGAUAUUGGGAGGAACACCAGUGGCGAAGGCGAUUUACUGGACGGCAACUGACGCUGAGACACGAAAGUGUGGGGAGCAAACAGGAUUAGAUACCCUGGUAGUCCACACUGUAAACGAUGAAUGCUAGGUGUGGGGGAGCAAUCCUCCGUGCCGGAGUUAACACAAUAAGCAUUCCGCCUGGGGAGUACGGCCGCAAGGUUGCAACUCAAAGGAAUUGACGG
This 913-nucleotide ribosomal RNA is filed under the name uncultured Bacillota bacterium. RNAcentral describes it as "bacterial SSU rRNA". It matches the Rfam family "Bacterial small subunit ribosomal RNA", at positions 1 to 916 of the family's 1533-position model. The record is from RNAcentral. Lineage: Bacteria; Bacillati; Bacillota.